GCUGGGUGUGAUGGCUCAUGCCUGUAAUCCCAGCACUUUGGGAGGCCGAGGCGGGUGGAUCGCCUGAGGUCAGGAGUUCAAGACCAGCCUGUCCAACAUGGUGAAACCCCGUCUCUA
This is an unclassified non-coding RNA of Pongo abelii (Sumatran orangutan), 117 nucleotides long. It matches the Rfam family "Metazoan signal recognition particle RNA". Rfam says of the family: The signal recognition particle (SRP) is a universally conserved ribonucleoprotein. It is involved in the co-translational targeting of proteins to membranes. The eukaryotic SRP consists of a 300-nucleotide 7S RNA and six proteins: SRPs 72, 68, 54, 19, 14, and 9. The record is from Ensembl. NCBI's taxonomy places the organism in Eukaryota, Metazoa, Chordata, Mammalia, Primates, Hominidae.